This 665-nucleotide small RNA is filed under the name Arabidopsis thaliana (thale cress). RNAcentral's name for it is "putative long intergenic non-coding RNA". Lineage: Eukaryota; Viridiplantae; Streptophyta; Magnoliopsida; Brassicales; Brassicaceae. The record is from RNAcentral.
CGGAUAGAUUAUAAUCUCAUUGUCCAGAAACAGUAAUCACCUCAGAUCUUCUCACAGUUUGCUUUCUGAAUCUCCAUGUGAUUCACUGCAUUCACCAGUCACCACCCUUUUAUCAAUAACUUCAUAUUCCUUUCUGAGCUUAUUUUAGGCGAAUAAGCAAAUUUUCUUCACUCUGUGGCUGGUCAAAACCCAAUGUUUUUUCACCUGAAACCAGUUUUGUAAGGACUGCCCCAAAGCUAUUAACAUUUCUCUCAAGGUUCUUGUGUGCUCUCAAUUAGAUAAGGCCAAAGAUCUCAUCAAUCACGAGCAUCUCUGAUACGAUUGAUGUAUCAAGAAGAAUGUGAAUGAGAGAAAGCAAAAGAAGACACGUGCAAGUGAGGAGGCACGUGAGAAGAAACUUGCUUGAAGAAGAAGAUAUUUUUAGGAUCUAAAAAUAUCUUGAACAAACUCAGUUCGAGUAUAAAUAAUGGCUCUGAAUGUUUAGAGAGGUUUAUGUUGUUUGUUGUUGAAUGGUAUGAGAGACUUAAGAGCAGAGCUAGUGAUGUGCUAGUCUCUCUCGUAUGGUGUAUUGAGAGCUGAGCUAGUGAUGUGCUAGUCUCUCUCGUGUUUGGUGUGUUAGUGAGUACUGGUUUGGUUAAGGAAUAAAGGUAUCGAUAUUGAAAACU